AGAGUUUGAUCCUGGCUCAGAGCGAACGCUGGCGGCAGGCUUAACACAUGCAAGUCGAGCGGGCGUAGCAAUACGUCAGCGGCAGACGGGUGAGUAACGCGUGGGAACGUACCUUUUGGUUCGGAACAACACAGGGAGACUUGUGCUAAUACCGGAUAAGCCCUUACGGGGAAAGAUUUAUCGCCGAAAGAUCGGCCCGCGUCUGAUUAGCUAGUUGGUGAGGUAAUGGCUCACCAAGGCGACGAUCAGUAGCUGGUCUGAGAGGAUGAUCAGCCACAUUGGGACUGAGACACGGCCCAAACUCCUACGGGAGGCAGCAAUGGGGAAUAUUGGACAAUGGGCGCAAGCCUGAUCCAGCCAUGCCGCGUGAGUGAUGAAGGCCCUAGGGUUGUAAAGCUCUUUUGUGCGGGAAGAUAAUGACGGUACCGCAAGAAUAAGCCCCGGCUAACUUCGUGCCAGCAGCCGCGGUAAUACGAAGGGGGCUAGCGUUGCUCGGAAUCACUGGGCGUAAAGGGUGCGUAGGCGGGUCUUUAAGUCAGGGGUGAAAUCCUGGAGCUCAACUCCAGAACUGCCUUUGAUACUGAGGAUCUUGAGUUCGGGAGAGGUGAGUGGAACUGCGAGUGUAGAGGUGAAAUUCGUAGAUAUUCGCAAGAACACCAGUGGCGAAGGCGGCUCACUGGCCCGAUACUGACGCUGAGGCACGAAAGCGUGGGGAGCAAACAGGAUUAGAUACCCUAGUAGUCC
RNAcentral lists this ribosomal RNA (744 nucleotides) under uncultured bacterium. RNAcentral describes it as "bacterial SSU rRNA". It matches the Rfam family "Bacterial small subunit ribosomal RNA", at positions 8 to 796 of the family's 1533-position model. The record is from RNAcentral.